UACGUAGGGUCCGAGCGUUGUCCGGAAUUAUUGGGCGUAAAGCGCGUGUAGGCGGUCCGGUAAGUCCGCUGUGAAAGUCGGGGGCUUAACCCUCGGAUGCCGGUGGAUACUGUCGGGCUUGAGUACGGAAGAGGCGAGUGGAAUUCCUGGUGUAGCGGUGAAAUGCGCAGAUAUCAGGAGGAACACCAAUUGCGAAGGCAGCGCGCUGGGACGUUACUGACGCUGAGACGCGAAAGCGUGGGGAGCAAACAGG
This 253-nucleotide ribosomal RNA is filed under the name uncultured bacterium. Its description in RNAcentral is "partial 16S ribosomal RNA". It matches the Rfam family "Bacterial small subunit ribosomal RNA", at positions 524 to 776 of the family's 1533-position model. The record is from RNAcentral.